Molecule: ribosomal RNA, 363 nt
Filed under: uncultured bacterium
Lineage: Bacteria
Description: bacterial SSU rRNA
Rfam family: Bacterial small subunit ribosomal RNA
Source: RNAcentral
AACGAACGCUGGCGGCAGGCUUAACACAUGCAAGUCGAACGGGUGUCGCAAGACAUCAGUGGCAGACGGGUGAGUAACACGUGGGAACCUUCCUAGGGGUACGGAACAACUCAGGGAAACUUGAGCUAAUACCGUAUACGUCCGUAAGGAGAAAGAUUCAUCGCCCCUAGACGGGCCCGCGUCGGAUUAGCUUGUUGGUGGGGUGAUGGCCUACCAAGGCGACGACGGGUAGCCGGCCUGAGAGGGCGACCGGCCACACUGGGACUGAGACACGGGCCAGACUCCUACGGGAGGCAGCAGUGAGGAAUCUUGCGCAAUGGACGGAAAGUCUGACGCAGCGACGCCGCGUGGGGGAUGACGGCC